This 1416-nucleotide ribosomal RNA is filed under the name uncultured bacterium. RNAcentral describes it as "16S ribosomal RNA". It matches the Rfam family "Bacterial small subunit ribosomal RNA". The record is from RNAcentral. RNAcentral also lists the same sequence under 1 other name.
UCGAACGGUAACAGGAAGCAGCUUGCUGCUUUGCUGACGAGUGGCGGACNGNUGAGUAAUGUCUGGGAAACUGCCCGAUGGAGGGGGAUAACUACUGGAAACGGUAGCUAAUACCGCAUAACGUCGCAAGACCAAAGAGGGGGACCUUCGGGCCUCUUGCCAUCGGAUGUGCCCAGAUGGGAUUAGCUAGUAGGUGGGGUAACGGCUCACCUAGGCGACGAUCCCUAGCUGGUCUGAGAGGAUGACCAGCCACACUGGAACUGAGACACGGUCCAGACUCCUACGGGAGGCAGCAGUGGGGAAUAUUGCACAAUGGGCGCAAGCCUGAUGCAGCCAUGCCGCGUGUAUGAAGAAGGCCUUCGGGUUGUAAAGUACUUUCAGCGGGGAGGAAGGGAGUAAAGUUAAUACCUUUGCUCAUUGACGUUACCCGCAGAAGAAGCACCGGCUAACUCCGUGCCAGCAGCCGCGGUUAAUACGGAGGGUGCAAGCGUUAAUCGGAAUUACUGGGCGUAAAGCGCACGCAGGCGGUUUGUUAAGUCAGAUGUGAAAUCCCCGGGCUCAACCUGGGAACUGCAUCUGAUACUGGCAAGCUUGAGUCUCGUAGAGGGGGGUAGAAUUCCAGGUGUAGCGGUGAAAUGCGUAGAGAUCUGGAGGAAUACCGGUGGCGAAGGCGGCCCCCUGGACGAAGACUGACGCUCAGGUGCGAAAGCGUGGGGAGCAAACAGGAUUAGAUACCCUGGUAGUCCACGCCGUAAACGAUGUCGACUUGGAGGUUGUGCCCUUGAGGCGUGGCUUCCGGAGCUAACGCGUUAAGUCGACCGCCUGGGGAGUACGGCCGCAAGGUUAAAACUCAAAUGAAUUGACNGGGGGCCCGCACAAGCGGUGGAGCANUGUGGNUUUAAUUUCGAUGCAACGCGAAGAACCUUACCUGGUCUUGACAUCCACGGAAAGUUUUCAGAGAUGAGAAUGUGCCUUUCGGGAACCGUGAGACAGGUAAAAACAUGGCUGUCGUCAGCUCGUGUUGUGAAAUGUUGGGUUAAGUCCCGCAACGAGCGCAACCCUUAUCCUUUGUUGCCAGCGGUCCGGCCGGGAACUCAAAGGAGACUGCCAGUGAUAAACUGGAGGAAGGUGGGGAUGACGUCAAGUCAUCAUGGCCCUUACGACCAGGGCUACACACGUGCUACAAUGGCGCAUACAAAGAGAAGCGACCUCGCGAGAGCAAGCGGACCUCAUAAAGUGCGUCGUAGUCCGGAUUGGAGUCUGCAACUCGACUCCAUGAAGUCGGAAUCGCUAGUAAUCGUGGAUCUNUANANGGGCGGUGAAUACGUUCCCGGGCCUUGUACACACCCCCUUUNAGGGGNCAUGGGAGUGGGUUGCAAAAGAAGUAGGUAGCUUAACCUUCGGGAGGGCGCUACC